This 254-nucleotide ribosomal RNA is filed under the name uncultured bacterium. Its description in RNAcentral is "partial 16S ribosomal RNA". It matches the Rfam family "Bacterial small subunit ribosomal RNA", at positions 524 to 776 of the family's 1533-position model. The record is from RNAcentral.
UACGUAGGGUCCAAGCGUUAUCCGGAAUCCCUGGGCGUAAAGCGUGCGUAGGCGGCGUGUUAAGUGCGAUGCGAAAUCUGGUGGCUCAACCAUCUAGACUGUAUCGCAUACUGGCAUGCUUGAGGAUGGCAGAGGUAAGUGGAAUUGAUAGUGUAGCAGUGAAAUGCGUAGAUAUUAUCAGGAACACCAAUGGCGAAGGCAGCUUACUGGGCCACACCUGACGCUGAGGUACGAAAGCGUGGGGAGCGAACAGG